GUAAGUGCCCCUUCUUUAAAAGAUGAACACUUCUGGAGCAGGCCCAGCGACGUAGUGGUUAACUUCACAUGCCCCACUGUGGCCCAGGGUUUGCGGGUUUGGAUCCUUGCUGCAGACCUACCCAUUGCUUGUCAAGCCAUGCUGUGGCAGGCGUCCCACAUAUGAAAUAGAGGGGGAUGGGCACGGAUGUUAGCUCAGGGCCAGUCCUCCUCAAAUAAAUAAAUAAAAUAAAAGAUGAACACUUCUGAUAAUAUUAUCUCAUGUCCUUUAGAAUAAACACCUUAAGUAUGAAUCUCUUCUCUGUCUGCCUACAUCUGAGUCUUGUUAAAAAUCAAUGUCUCCAUUAUAACAGACAAGACGAAAUGAAUGGGAAAGGUCAGAAAAUCCCAGAAACUUAUGAUAUUCUAAAAUGAGAAUGGAAGAUUGGGCGUCAUUUCACCUCUGAGUAGACACAGCCUUUACCGUUGAAGAAUUAUGGAGAACUGUGGCUGAUUAUUCCAAAGGGAAUGAAGAGGGCCGUGAAAGAUACCAGUGCUCUCCGUCGGCUCCCCCGGUACAUAGUUGUAUAUUCUUCGUUGUGGGUCCUUCUAGUUGUGGCAUGUGGGACGCUGCCUCAGCGUGGUUUGAUGAGCAGUGCGAUGUCCGCGCCCAGGAUUUGAACCAAUGAAACACCGGGCCGCCUGCAGCGGAGCGCGGGAACUUAACCACUCGGCCCC
RNAcentral lists this long non-coding RNA (716 nucleotides) under Equus caballus (horse). RNAcentral describes it as "lncRNA (ENSECAG00000046309.1)". The record is from RNAcentral. Lineage: Eukaryota; Metazoa; Chordata; Mammalia; Perissodactyla; Equidae.